Molecule: ribosomal RNA, 1805 nt
Filed under: human oral metagenome
Description: bacterial LSU rRNA
Rfam family: Bacterial large subunit ribosomal RNA
Source: RNAcentral
GAAAGCGUAAUAGCUCACUGGUCGAGUCGUCCUGCGCGGAAGAUGUAACGGGGCUCAAAUCUAUAACCGAAGCUGCGGAUGCCAGUUUACUGGCAUGGUAGGGGAGCGUUCUGUAGGCCGAUGAAGGUGCAUUGUAAAGUGUGCUGGAGGUAUCAGAAGUGCGAAUGUUGACAUGAGUAGCGAUAAAGCGGGUGAAAAGCCCGCUCGCCGAAAGCCCAAGGUUUCCUACGCAACGUUCAUCGGCGUAGGGUGAGUCGGCCCCUAAGGCGAGGCAGAAAUGCGUAGUCGAUGGGAAACAGGUUAAUAUUCCUGUACUUGAUUCAAAUGCGAUGUGGGGACGGAGAAGGUUAGGUUAGCAAGCUGUUGGAAUAGCUUGUUUAAGCCGGUAGGUGGAAGACUUAGGCAAAUCCGGGUCUUCUUAACACCGAGAAGUGAUGACGAGUGUCUACGGACAUGAAGUAACCGAUACCACGCUUCCAGGAAAAGCCACUAAGCUUCAGUUUGAAUUGAACCGUACCGCAAACCGACACAGGUGGGCAGGAUGAGAAUUCUAAGGCGCUUGAGAGAACUCAGGAGAAGGAACUCGGCAAAUUGAUACCGUAACUUCGGGAGAAGGUAUGCCCUCUAAGGUUAAGGACUUGCUCCGUAAGCCCUGGAGGGUCGCAGAGAAUAGGUGGCUGCGACUGUUUAUUAAAAACACAGCACUCUGCUAACACGAAAGUGGACGUAUAGGGUGUGACGCCUGCCCGGUGCUGGAAGGUUAAUUGAAGAUGUGCAAGCAUCGGAUCGAAGCCCCAGUAAACGGCGGCCGUAACUAUAACGGUCCUAAGGUAGCGAAAUUCCUUGUCGGGUAAGUUCCGACCCGCACGAAUGGCGUAACGAUGGCCACACUGUCUCCUCCUGAGACUCAGCGAAGUUGAAGUGGUUGUGAAGAUGCAAUCUACCCGCUGCUAGACGGAAAGACCCCGUGAACCUUUACUGUAGCUUUGCAUUGGACUUUGAAGUCACUUGUGUAGGAUAGGUGGGAGGCUUUGAAGCAGAGACGCUAGUCUCUGUGGAGCCGUCCUUGAAAUACCACCCUGGUGUCUUUGAGGUUCUAACCCAGACCCGUAAUCCGGGUCGGGGACCGUGCAUGGUAGGCAGUUUGACUGGGGCGGUCUCCUCCCAAAGAGUAACGGAGGAGUUCGAAGGUUACCUAGGUCCGGUCGGAAAUCGGACUGAUAGUGCAAUGGCAAAAGGUAGCUUAACUGCGAGACCGACAAGUCGAGCAGGUGCGAAAGCAGGACAUAGUGAUCCGGUGGUUCUGUAUGGAAGGGCCAUCGCUCAACGGAUAAAAGGUACUCCGGGGAUAACAGGCUGAUUCCGCCCAAGAGUUCAUAUCGACGGCGGAGUUUGGCACCUCGAUGUCGGCUCAUCACAUCCUGGGGCUGUAGUCGGUCCCAAGGGUAUGGCUGUUCGCCAUUUAAAGUGGUACGUGAGCUGGGUUUAAAACGUCGUGAGACAGUUUGGUCCCUAUCUGCAGUGGGCGUUGGAAGUUUGACGGGGGCUGCUCCUAGUACGAGAGGACCGGAGUGGACGAACCUCUGGUGUACCGGUUGUAACGCCAGUUGCAUAGCCGGGUAGCUAAGUUCGGAAGAGAUAAGCGCUGAAAGCAUCUAAGCGCGAAACUCGCCUGAAGAUGAGACUUCCCUUGUGGUUUAACCACACUAAAGAGUCGUUCGAGACCAGGACGUUGAUAGGUGGGGUGUGGAAGCGCGGUAACGCGUGAAGCUAACCCAUACUAAUUGCUCGUGAGGCUUGACUCU